This 342-nucleotide ribosomal RNA is filed under the name Triticum aestivum (bread wheat). RNAcentral's name for it is "partial small subunit ribosomal RNA". Lineage: Eukaryota; Viridiplantae; Streptophyta; Magnoliopsida; Poales; Poaceae. The record is from RNAcentral.
AUGGCGAUGGUGAAGAAGAGCACAAGCGUCCUGUGUCUCGUGGCCACCGUCAUGGUGGUCAUGGCUACCACCCUUCUUCUCUCCUCCUGCGACGCCCACAAAGAGGCAGAUGAGACUGCUGCGUUUCCCUUGCCGGCGCCAUGCUACUCCACCUCUUUGCCAAACUAUAUCGAUGACAAGUGCAAGAAGUUUUGUGGCGGCGAAGGCAAGCCGCCGGGCCCCAAGGCAUUAUGCAAUGACAACAAUAACUGCUGUUGUCCUGUCAUUCAAAUGGGCAUGGUCCAGUGCAUGUUCGUUAAUGUUGUCUUGUUCCCAUUUAGCCCUACUAAUGGUUGCUCAUGA